UUCCGGUUGAUCCCGCCGGACCUGACUGCUAUCGGAUUGAUACUAAGCCAUGCGAGUCUUUGCAGUAAUGCAAGGCAUACGGCUCAGUAACACGUAGUCAACUUACCCUAUGGACGAGGAUAAUCUCGGGAAACUGAGCAUAAUACUCGAUAGAUCAUAAUGCCUGGAAUGGUUUAUGGUUGAAAUGAUUCGUCGCCAUAGGAUGGGACUGCGGCCUAUCAGCUUGUUGGUGAGGUAAUGGCCCACCAAGGCGAUUACAGGUACGGGCUCUGAGAGGAGAAGCCCGGAGAUGGGUACUGAGACAAGGACCCAGGCCCUAUGGGGCGCAGCAGGCGAGAAAACUUUGCAAUGUGCGAAAGCACGACAAGGUUAAUCCGAGUGAUUUCUGCUAAAGAAAUCUUUUGCAAGUCAUAAAACCACUAGUGAAUAAGGGGUGGGCAAGUUCUGGUGUCAGCCGCCGCGGUAAAACCAGCACCUCAAGUGGUCAGGAGGAUUAUUGGGCCUAAAGCAUCCGUAGCCGGCUCUGUAAGUUUUCGGUUAAAUCCAUGUGCUCAACGCAUGGGCUGCCGAAAAUACUGCAUAGCUAGGGAGUGGGAGAGGUAGACGGUACUCAGUAGGAAGGGGUAAAAUCCUUUGAUCUAUUGAUGACCACCUGUGGCGAAGGCGGUCUACCAGAACACGUUCGACGGUGAGGGAUGAAAGCUGGGGGAGCAACCGGAUUAGAUACCCGGGUAGUCCCAGCUGUAAACGAUGCAGACUCGAUGAUGCAUUGGCAUAUAGCCAGUGCAGUGUCGCAGGGAAGCCGUUAAGUCUGCCGCCUGGGAAGUACGUACGCAAGUAUGAAACUUAAAGGAAUUGGCGGGGGAGCACCACAAGGGGUGAAGCCUGCGGUUCAAUUGGAGUCAACGCCGGG
Molecule: ribosomal RNA, 913 nt
Filed under: uncultured marine archaeon
Lineage: Archaea
Description: bacterial SSU rRNA
Rfam family: Archaeal small subunit ribosomal RNA
Source: RNAcentral